UCCUGCCUAGCUCAGUUGUUAAAGAACCUGCCUGCAAUGCUGGAAAUCUGGGUUAAAUUCCUGGGUCAGGAA
Molecule: transfer RNA, 72 nt
Organism: Ovis aries (sheep)
Lineage: Eukaryota; Metazoa; Chordata; Mammalia; Artiodactyla; Bovidae
Rfam family: tRNA
About the family: Transfer RNA (tRNA) molecules are approximately 80 nucleotides in length. Their secondary structure includes four short double-helical elements and three loops (D, anti-codon, and T loops).
Source: Rfam